This 68-nucleotide small RNA is filed under the name Williamsia sp. Leaf354. Its description in RNAcentral is "ASdes TB sRNA". It matches the Rfam family "ASdes TB sRNA". Lineage: Bacteria; Bacillati; Actinomycetota; Actinomycetes; Mycobacteriales; Nocardiaceae. The record is from Rfam by way of RNAcentral.
ACCCGCUCGGGAUCGACCUGGCGUGUCACCACGAGGUGGUCACGCAGCGCGAUGGAGUGGCGGUUGUC